CAGCAGCCGCGGUAAUACAGAGGGUGCGAGCGUUAAUCGGAUUUACUGGGCGUAAAGCGUGCGUAGGCGGCUUCUUAAGUCGGAUGUGAAAUCCCUGAGCUUAACUUAGGAAUUGCAUUCGAUACUGGGAAGCUAGAGUAUGGGAGAGGAUGGUAGAAUUCCAGGUGUAGCGGUGAAAUGCGUAGAGAUCUGGAGGAAUACCGAUGGCGAAGGCAGCCAUCUGGCCUAAUACUGACGCUGAGGUACGAAAGCAUGGGGAGAAAACAGGAUUAGAUACCCCCGUAGUCCCUGUCUCUUAUAC
This 301-nucleotide ribosomal RNA is filed under the name uncultured bacterium. RNAcentral describes it as "partial 16S ribosomal RNA". It matches the Rfam family "Bacterial small subunit ribosomal RNA", at positions 509 to 807 of the family's 1533-position model. The record is from RNAcentral.